CCUACGGGUGGCUGCAGUGGGGGAUAUUGCACAAUGGGGGAAACCCUGAUGCAGCGACGCCGCGUGUGGGAAGACGGUUCUCUGGAUUGUAAACCACUGUCAUCAGGGACGAAGAUGACGGUACCUGGGGAGGAAGCUCCGGCUAACUACGUGCAGUCAGCCGCGGUACUACGUAGGGAGCAAGCGUUGCCGGGAUUUACUGGGUGUAACGGGAGCGUUGGGGGGAUUGCAGGUUGGGUGUUAAAUCUACCGGCUAAACUGGGAGUCGCACACGAAACUGCUAUUCUUGAGUGAAGUAGAGGCAGGCGGAAUUCGUGGUGUAGCGGUGAAAUGCGUAGAUAUUAGGAGGAACACCAGUGGCGAAGGCGGCCUGCUGGGCUUUUACUGACGCUGAGGCUCGAAAGUGUGGGGAGCAAACAGGAUUAGAUACCCUAGUAGUC
This 440-nucleotide ribosomal RNA is filed under the name uncultured bacterium. RNAcentral describes it as "partial 16S ribosomal RNA". It matches the Rfam family "Bacterial small subunit ribosomal RNA", at positions 338 to 795 of the family's 1533-position model. The record is from RNAcentral.